RNAcentral lists this ribosomal RNA (467 nucleotides) under uncultured bacterium. Its description in RNAcentral is "bacterial SSU rRNA". It matches the Rfam family "Bacterial small subunit ribosomal RNA", at positions 30 to 507 of the family's 1533-position model. The record is from RNAcentral.
AUUGAACGCUGGCGGCAUGCCUUACACAUGCAAGUCGAACGGUAACGGGCCUUCGGGUGCCGACGAGUGGCGAACGGGUGAGUAAUGUAUCGGAACGUACCUUUCAGUGGGGGAUAACGUAGCGAAAGUUACGCUAAUACCGCAUAUUCUGUGAGCAGGAAAGCAGGGGAUCGCAAGACCUUGCGCUGAUUGAGCGGCCGAUAUCAGAUUAGCUAGUUGGUGAGGUAAAGGCUCACCAAGGCGACGAUCUGUAGCGGGUCUGAGAGGAUGAUCCGCCACACUGGAACUGAGACACGGUCCAGACUCCUACGGGAGGCAGCAGUGGGGAAUUUUGGACAAUGGGGGCAACCCUGAUCCAGCCAUGCCGCGUGAGUGAAGAAGGUCUUCGGAUCGUAAAGCUCUGUCCUUGGGGAAGAAGGUCUUCGGACUUGACGGUACCCAAGAAGAAAGCCCCGGCUAACUACGUG